GCGAGACAACACGCCGCCGUCCUGCUCCCACACACAGAAGGUCUCCUGCUGCAGGAGCUUCCCCUGAGACGUCAACUUCCCCUGGAGACAGAGGACCAGCGGUACCUUCAGGGUGUUUCCGGUUCCAGAGCCGCUGCGUUUGGGCCCUGGAGAGCCCACAGCGCCCCCUGGAGCCACGCCCACUCCGAACACUGUGGGGGAGCUGACACCUGAGAAAGCAGAGCAGUCCCAGCAUGCACCUCUGCCUCGCCGCAUGUUUCCACAUCAGAACAUUCAGAACGUGAGAAGAAGACGUGACGAGAGACGAGGCUGAGACGUGUUUGUGUCCAGGAAUCAAACUACAGUCACAAGGGGCGGGGCUAACGCGAGGGGUGGGGCCACAGCACUGGGUGUGGCUUAUUGAGACUUGAGUGACAACAAGGACAGAAGUCGCCACUAAGAGAUAAUUGACAUGUAUAAAUAUAUAUAUAAUGAUUUAAAAUAUCAUAACUGACUAAAAUCGAAAUGAAAAUUAAAAAUAAACCUUUAAUUUAUAGGAAAAAUAAGUUAAAUAAGUUAAAUUAAAUUGAAAACAAAUUAAGUUUCAAUCCAAUUUAAAAAAAGCAAAUUGAUAUAUGACAUUAAAAGUAAUAAUUCAGAUAAACUAAACUAGAAUAAUCUGUAAAAAUAUAAUUACAUCUAAAAGAGUCAUAUACAAAAUAAAGAAUAAAAUGAAUGAAGACUAAAUCGAAAAUAUGUGAAACAAGAAAGAUGUAAAUUCACCAGAGAUCGACCUGAAAACAACCAGUUUAUUUUUAAACAGAAACUCCCAUUGUCUUCUGGUGAGGAAGAAGAGCCAGCAGGUAUCCACACACACAGUGACACACACAGACACACACAAAGACACACACCCUGAGGCAGGAUGUGAAACUGAAGAUUCCUGUUGAGUCUGAAACUUGUUCAGGUCAAUGUUUAACCUGAAACUCUCAUCUCUGGGCUCUGAGUGUGUCUGUGUGUGUCUCUGUGUGUUUGUGAGUGAAACUGACGUUUAGUUCAUUUAUUUAUUAACUUUAUUUACUUUAUAACUGAUUUGGACAUGUGCUCUGCUGUUUCUUUUGGGAACAUUUAUCCUGUUGUUGAUUAUUUAGUUAGUUCAUUUUGUUCCAUUGAGAUAUUUUGUGUUUGCUGUUGACGUUGAGGGAGAAUUGAGAUAUUUGUGACCAAUGGGGACAUUUGGUUUGUUGAGUUUACGAUUUACAGUUUGUGUAAAAUGUCAACAUACAAAGAGACGUCACAUUCUGACCACACAGCAGGUUGCAUCGUUCAGGCUUCACACACCGACACACGCUCAAUAUUUAGUGAACUCCGUCCGACAGGAAGCAGGAGACACGGAUGUUUAAAGUUCCCUCUGUUCAAACAGGAAGUGACACGAAACCAAAAUGGACGAGCUGCCGCAGAGACAUGGUGACCGGGUCCAAGGUCGUCAGUAACUGAAACUGUAAUCAGAUUACUACCUUACUCUUCAAUGAGUGGAGAAUUAGAUUGAGCUCGAGCUCUUUUACCAUGAAGUUAUUAUUGUUUAUCUUGAGUCCAGGUGGAGUUCUGUGUUCGACCAGGAGGUGGCGCCCUGCAGGGAGAUGAACCUACCUUUGCUGACGGUGGAGGAGGCGUUGGAGGAGGAGGUGGUGGUGGAGGAGUUGCAGGAG
This is a long non-coding RNA of Platichthys flesus (European flounder), 1685 nucleotides long. RefSeq lists it as uncharacterized. Lineage: Eukaryota; Metazoa; Chordata; Actinopteri; Pleuronectiformes; Pleuronectidae. The record is from RefSeq and is a predicted model, not a curated record. The transcript has 3 exons.